GGAAGCGUUCGGGUGUCUGGUGACCCCUGCGGUCUUCAAAACCGACAUGGCCGAGCAUCUCGGCCAUGUCGGUUCGUUCCCGUCCGCUUCCGC
Molecule: transfer RNA, 93 nt
Filed under: Actinomycetota bacterium
Lineage: Bacteria; Bacillati; Actinomycetota
Description: tRNA-Sec
Rfam family: Selenocysteine transfer RNA
Source: RNAcentral